Molecule: small RNA, 631 nt
Filed under: Pan troglodytes (chimpanzee)
Lineage: Eukaryota; Metazoa; Chordata; Mammalia; Primates; Hominidae
Description: retained intron
Source: RNAcentral
CCAAGCUAGCCUUUAUGGGAAGCGCAGAAGUCAGAAAGAGGAAGAUGAGCAAGAAGAUCUAACCAAGGAUAUGGAAGACCCAACACCUGUACCCAAUAUAGAAGAAGUAGUACUUCCCAAAAAUGUGAACCUAAAGAAAGAUAGUGAAAAUACACCUGUUAAAGGAGGAACUGUAGCAGAUCUAGAUGAGCAGGAUGAAGAAACAGUCACAGCAGGAGGAAAGGAAGAUGAAGAUCCUGCCAAAGGUGAUCAGAGUCGAUCAGUUGACCCUGGGGAAGAUAAUGUGACAGAGCAGACCAAUCACAUUAUUAUUCCUAGUUAUGCAUCAUGGUUUGAUUAUAACUGUAUUCAUGUGAUUGAACGGCGUGCUCUUCCUGAGUUCUUCAAUGGAAAAAACAAAUCCAAGACUCCAGAAAUGUGAGGCCAGUGUUUUAGAUAACUUGUUUAUUUGCCUGUGUGCGGUAGGGGCUCUUCAAGCAUCCACCUGAGUUCCUUAUUGCUGAUUCUUGGAAGUUUGCAAAUACUCCUUUCAGAACAGUGUUCAUAUCUCAUUUGCAUAGCAUUCCAUGGUACACAGGAAAUUGUAUCUAGUUUCGUUUUUUGUUUUGGGGUUUUUUUUUUGGUGUUUGUU